Long non-coding RNA from Cygnus olor (mute swan), 391 nucleotides. RefSeq lists it as uncharacterized. The record is from RefSeq and is a predicted model, not a curated record. The transcript has 3 exons. Lineage: Eukaryota; Metazoa; Chordata; Aves; Anseriformes; Anatidae.
CUGCCUCUGAUUGGCUUCACCCUAGCAAGGGGAAGGAUUUAUGGCCAUAGUGGCAAGCACCUCUUUUGGGUGCUCAUUACCUAGUUGAUAGCACCUGAGCAGGAGAAGUAACUGCAGACCUUGAUACUGGUUGGUCUAGAGGGAGAACUGCAAAGGAUCUCUGCUUCCCUUUAAACAGAAGGUGUGGACAAUUGUCUGUGCUCCAAACCAGCUGGAUACAAGCCACUUCUUGUUCAAAAGCCAUGUGGAAGAAUUACUGGACUAUGAGCUGAAGCUACUCUGUCCUGCCUCUUAGUUCCAUUAAGGUUUCAGCAGAGUAACCUGCAACCUGUAACUUCAGAGGGAACGGGGAGUUAUAACUUUCUUUGAAAAAGAGAUUAUUUUAAGUCCU